GAAAUGUUCAAUAAGGAGGCGGGGCAUCAAGUUGAAGAGUGCAAAUUGAGAGUGCUCUAUGUUUCUCCACCUCAACCGCCUUCUCCUGUUCCAGAAGGGUCUGAGGAAGGGUCUUCGCCGAGGGGUUCUGUGUCAGAUAAUGGAAUUGCAAAUGGUGCUGAGUUUUCUAAUGCUUCAAGAGCAUUUGCUGAGCGGUUUGAACCUCAAGACAAAUCGUCAGAGGCAAAAGCUCUUAUUU
RNAcentral lists this unclassified non-coding RNA (238 nucleotides) under Hevea brasiliensis (rubber tree). Lineage: Eukaryota; Viridiplantae; Streptophyta; Magnoliopsida; Malpighiales; Euphorbiaceae. The record is from RNAcentral.